This 874-nucleotide ribosomal RNA is filed under the name uncultured crenarchaeote. RNAcentral describes it as "bacterial SSU rRNA". It matches the Rfam family "Archaeal small subunit ribosomal RNA", at positions 21 to 903 of the family's 1478-position model. Lineage: Archaea; Thermoproteati; Thermoproteota. The record is from RNAcentral.
CCUGACUGCUAUCGGAUUGGUACUAAGCCAUGUGAGUCAUUGUAGCAAUACAAGGCAGACGGCUCAGUAACACGUAGUCAAUCUACCCUAUGGACGGGGAUAACCUCGGGAAACUGAGGAUAAAACCCGAUAGAUCAUAAUGCCUGGAAUGGUUUAUGGUCCAAAUGAUUCGUCGCCGUAGGAUGGGACUGCGGCCUAUCAGCUUGUUGGUGAGGUAAUGGCCCACCAAGGCUAUUACAGGUACGGGCUCUGAGAGGAGAAGCCCGGAGAUGGGUACUGAGACACGGACCCAGGCCCUAUGGGGCGCAGUAGGCGAGAAACCUUUGCAAUGUGCGCAAGCACGACAAGGUUAAUCCGAGUGUUUCCUGCUAAAGGAAUCUUUUGUUAGUUGUAAAACCUCUGAUGAAUAAGGGGUGGCAAGUUCUGGUGUCAGCCGCCGCGGUAAAACCAGCACCUCAAGUGGUCAGGAGGAUUAUUGGGCCUAAAGCAUCCGUAGCCUGUUCUAUAAGUUUCCGGUUAAAUCCAUUAGCUCAACUAAUGGGCUGCCGAAAAUACUGUGGAACUAGGGAGUGGGAGAGGUAGACGGUACUCGGUAGGAAGGGGUAAAAUCCUUUGAUCUAUUGAUGACCACCUGUGGCGAAGGCGGUCUACCAGAACACGUUCGACGGUGAGGGAUGAAAGCUGGGGGAGCAAACCGGAUUAGAUACCCGGGUAGUCCCAGCUGUAAACGAUGCAGACUCGGUGAUGCGCUGGCUUGUGGCCAGUGCAGUGCGGCAGGGAAGCCGUUAAGUUUGCCGCCUGGGAAGUACGUACGCAAGUAUGAAACUUAAAGGAAUUGGCGGGGGAGCACCACAAGGGGUGAAGCCUGCGGUUC